Molecule: long non-coding RNA, 315 nt
Filed under: Mytilus galloprovincialis (Mediterranean mussel)
Lineage: Eukaryota; Metazoa; Mollusca; Bivalvia; Mytilida; Mytilidae
Source: RNAcentral
UCUCUGGGCAUUUCUAAAAUCCAUCCUGUAAUUUGUUACGAGCAGUACACUAAAUGUAUCACCAUUUUGAAAGACUUCAACGUUGUAAUGCAUAUUAUUUUGUGCAUUUCGUAAUGAUUGACAUACACACUAUUCGUCUGGCGUAUUAAAUUAUAUCCCUGGUACCUUUGAUAACUAUUAUGCUUAAAAUAAUUGUUAUUGAAUAAAGAACUUUAUAUAUACUCUAAUGAGUCAUUCUUUCCAGUAAUGUUUGUUUGAAUAUCAGAUGGGUUUCUAUCCACAUAUUUAAAAUAUAUCACCACAAAACACACAGCA